GGCACGAUGGCAGAGUGGUCUAAUGCGCCAGAUUCGAAAUCUGGUGGGCUUCGCCCGCGCAGGUUCAAAUCCUGCUCGUGUCG
Molecule: non-coding RNA, 83 nt
Organism: Phlyctochytrium arcticum
Lineage: Eukaryota; Fungi; Chytridiomycota; Chytridiomycetes; Chytridiales; Chytridiaceae
Source: the annotation of a GenBank genome assembly